UUUCCAAGACAUCAAAUCACUUGGAAUCGUCGCCUGUAUAGGAACCAGCAUGACUACUUACAUGCCUCUUUAGUUUCGUCAUCAUUGCUGGUUUUUAAAGUGGCAAUCAAUUGACAUAAAAAUCGCUUUGCGUAUUCCCAGACUUCCAAUCGUCAUUAAAUGUUGAUAAUCAUCACCUCUCAUCGAGUCAGUCGAACAGCCGUAAACCACAUGCAUUCCAAAUCCAAAGCAUAUUAUCUGAAUAGUCGUGCCAAUAUGUUUCUGUUCUGACCGCAGAAGAAGACGCAAAAAUCCAUUGUCACACUAAGAUUUCUUGUCCACGAACGAAGUGUCGUCACCAAUUUCACCAUGACUACUGUAUCGUCCACUGACUCCAGCCCGGAACCACCCAGAUUCAUGGGAUCAACAAGAAGCUACAAAUUUGUGGCAGCAUUCCACAAUGACAGGAUAAACAAACAUGCGGAUGACCUCUAAGAACAAAAAGAAAGUAUGUGUGGACCGUUGAAAUUAUAGAAAGUAUGAUCCCUGCCACUCAACCAAUGGUACUUCCGCCAAGUGCUAUGCCUUAUCUUGAUACCUCAAUUCAAUAUAUGAUAGUUGUGACAAAGAAUUAGUGUCUUCAAUGGAACCUAAGCGUUAACCAUUCUAACCGUUCUCAACCAUGCAUUACUACAGCAUGGUAUGAAUUUUUAAGGAAUUGAAACUACAGGCCCGGAGAUGAAAUAUGCUUUUAUUUUAUAACUUUUCAAAAUGUAUGGGAAUUAGUUAUUAGGAAAGAUCAACAAUGAAUGCGAUGUUCAUAUAUGAAAUAGGUAAUUAUAAUGAACCACUAACAUAAAUCUACCAAUUCUC
Long non-coding RNA from Glycine soja, 852 nucleotides. RefSeq lists it as uncharacterized. The transcript has 4 exons. Lineage: Eukaryota; Viridiplantae; Streptophyta; Magnoliopsida; Fabales; Fabaceae. The record is from RefSeq and is a predicted model, not a curated record.